AUACGUAGGGGGCGAGCGUUGUCCGGAAUGAUUGGGCGUAAAGGGCGCGUAGGCGGCCCGGUAAGUCUGGAGUGAAAGUCCUGCUUUCAGGGUGGGAAUUGCUUUGGAUACUGCCGCGCUUGAGUGCAGGAGAGGUUAUCGGAAUUCCCGGUGUAGCGGUGAAAUGCGUAGAGAUCGGGAGGAACACCAGUGGCGAAGGCGGGUAACUGGACUGCAACUGACGCUGAGGCGCGAAAGUGUGGGGAGCAAACAGGAUUAGAUACCCUGGUAGUCCACACUGUAAACGAUGAAUGCUAGGUGUAAGAGGUAUCGACCCCUUUUGUGCCGGAGUCAACACAAUAAGCAUUCCGCCUGGGGAGUACGGCCGCAAGGUUGAAACUCAAAUGAAUUGACGGGG
This 397-nucleotide ribosomal RNA is filed under the name uncultured bacterium. Its description in RNAcentral is "partial 16S ribosomal RNA". It matches the Rfam family "Bacterial small subunit ribosomal RNA", at positions 523 to 918 of the family's 1533-position model. The record is from RNAcentral.